This 253-nucleotide ribosomal RNA is filed under the name uncultured bacterium. RNAcentral describes it as "partial 16S ribosomal RNA". It matches the Rfam family "Bacterial small subunit ribosomal RNA", at positions 524 to 776 of the family's 1533-position model. The record is from RNAcentral.
UACGUAGGGUGCAAGCGUUAAUCGGAAUUACUGGGCGUAAAGCGUGCGCAGGCGGUGAUGUAAGACAGGUGUGAAAUCCCCGGGCUUAACCUGGGAACUGCAUUUGUGACUGCAUAGCUUGAGUGCGGCAGAGGGGGAUGGAAUUCCGCGUGUAGCAGUGAAAUGCGUAGAUAUGCGGAGGAACACCGAUGGCGAAGGCAAUCCCCUGGGCCUGCACUGACGCUCAUGCACGAAAGCGUGGGGAGCAAACAGG